RNAcentral lists this long non-coding RNA (6827 nucleotides) under Sus scrofa (pig). Its description in RNAcentral is "lncRNA (ENSSSCG00000056785.1)". The record is from RNAcentral. Lineage: Eukaryota; Metazoa; Chordata; Mammalia; Artiodactyla; Suidae.
GGCAACAGCCCUCUGAGAACAGAAAAAUAAGUGUUGACCAGUAUGAUAGUAGUCAUGAUUCCUGCCACCUCUUGAAGGACUUACAGUCACACCUUGCUUUGCAUGCAUGGAUUUUGUAAUUCUUGCAACACCCUUUGUGGUAGAUACUGUUCAUCACUGUGCUUCAGGGUCCAAAGACACAGAGCUAGUUAAAGGUAGAGUCUGGGGGAAGUAGGCCUUUUGUAUCCUUUUUUGUAGCCAUUUGUAUCCUUUCUGAUAGGCAACUCUUUUUACAUAAAGAAAAUGGGUAUUUGAGGGUGAGGCUCAUCCUCACAUGCCAGGUGGGCCCUAGAACUGGGAAAUCUCAAUGGGGAAAGGAAUGCAUGACCUGAGAAGUGGUCGCAUUGAUGCAGGCUUGAGGGAAGGGGAGGCUGGAUUCCACUCCAGGAAGGGUAGCCCACCUGCCUGGCACACUUAGCAUCUGCCAAGCACUGUUCUGAGCUGGUUACUUAGUUUAACUUGUUGACCUUCCCAGCAGGCCUGUGUGGUAGGUUCUAUUAUUACCCCAUCUAAAGACACAGGAACUGAGGUACAGAGGCACAUCUGGGCCCAAGAACACCCCCUAGAAGUGGUAGAACCAGGGUUCAAAUCCAGACGGUCUGGCUCCAGACCGAAUCACUCCCCAAGACUACCUUUCUGGAUGAGCUCAUUGGCUGGACGCGGGGGGCUUGGGGGGUUGGGGGCAGUAAGAUUUGUUGCACCCUCAAAAGGGUAACCAUUUUGAGCCCACCCUCAUCCUGUGCCCGAGCCUGAAAGACCUUCCCCAAAGCAUUGUCCUGCCCACAUUUUGGGCGGGGACCUGAAAUGAUCAGUCACCCUACUCAUGGCUGGGCACAUGGGAUGUGCAGAAAGGGACUUUCUCUGCCGCAUGUGUGUGCCUUCUCCCGAGGCCGGUGAUGGUCAGCGCCGUGGGACAUGCUUGCUGUAAUGAAGGCUGUUAACUCCAGCCACCUCAGAGAACAUGCCGGUACCCCAGGGACGCCCCUCUUUCUUACUUCACCAAAACACAGUCUUUUUAUCCCUCCCCUGAGGGGCUCCCUCGCUGAGCGCCUUUCUGUUUCUGAGCUGCACAGGUUCUCAGUGAAGCGUCCACUCCAGCCUGGGGCACAGAGGAGGUUGGUGGCAGAAGCCACCAAAGCACGUGGAGUCCUUGGCACUGGAUGUGUGUAAACCAGGACAGGCUUCCUCUCUGCCCCCUUGCCUAGCAACCCUUACAGGUGGGAAGCCAGAGAGCAAGGGGUUGGGGUAUCUCUUAAGAAAGCGAACCUAAAGCCAUUUGUGUUCCCAGCAUUUCCAGCCACUUUGUUUGUUAAUGGCUGCUCCUGCACUACAUGGAAGUUUCCGGGCCAGGGACUGAAUCCCAGCCACACCCGAGGCAGCGUGGGAUCCUUUAACUCACUGCGCUGGGCUGAGAAUCGAACCUGCACCUCAGAGGCAACCCGAGCCAUUGCAGUCAGAUCCCUAACCCACUAUGCCACAGCAGGAACUCCUGCUUUUGUUUUGUGGCCUGGUCUUUGAUGCAUAUAAUACUCUCUUCUUCUGCACUCAUCUCUGUUUACUGUUGUUAGAAUCCGUAACAACAAGCCUCUGUUGCCUGAGAGCACUGCACCCUGUGAGCAGGUGCCAGGGUUCAGGCUUCCGGAACGGCAUUUUCUCUGACAAUCGUGGACUUCGAGCCUGACUUCAUCUAGGUUGCAAUGAGGACAGCUCACCGGGCCUCCUCCUCCUGCCCGGUACAUUCCUGAGUUGUUAGGCCAGUUCAGAAAUGCAGGCUGAGGCCUCGCCUGCCUUAAAGGAUAGUUCUUGAUGUGCAGAUACCUGAAGCUGCAGGCAGCUGGGUGUUGAACUUGCUUGUCCUGCAAGAGUGUGCAUCCAUUUGGGAGCUACCCUUAAGCUCAUCUGUUUUUGAAACACAUUUUGAAUCCUGAAUAUCUGGGGAAUUCCUCUAGUUAAUAAAUGAAGGAAGUUUAAACCUGUCUGCAGUUUUGAAUUUGGUAUUCUCAUUAGGGAAAGCUGAAAAACACUGGGUGACUUGAUCUCUGGCUGUGAAAUCGCUGAGAUGGACAGGGUUUAAUGAACUGGGCGUGGAUGCAGUAUGCACAUCUGUCUGGCUGACUUUGUAGAUGUUAAAAAUAUCUAACAUUACAGAUGUGUGUGAAUGUGUAUCUGUGUGUGCACGUUCCUGAUCACACAAUAUUUCAUGGGUCUUAAAUAUUGGAGAGAAAUAAGCCACUUGAGAGGGAAGAUUUUUGACACAUUAAGUUAUGAAGACCCAUGUUUUUGAACAUCCACCUGUAUGUGGUGUUCUUUAUUGCAUGUGUAUUUAUUGCUGUUUCCAGAUCCUUCUCUGCUCUCGUUGGCUUUCAGGAAGUGUGUACUGUGCACACAUAGACAGGGCAGUUCACGCCUUAAGGUUGCAGGUUGUACCCUUGGUUAUGAAAAGCCGGCAUCGAUGUGAGUGAAAUUAUAAAAAGAAGUGAGUUUGGACAUUUCAGUGAUGCUUAGAAAUGAUGUUUAGAAACAGAAGUGACCUCAACAAGAAUAUAGACACAGAAUUUUUUUUUUUUUUUUUUAAGUGAGCAGUACUAGCCGUGUCUUGGUCCCUGGAUAAAUCCCAAAUUAGGUCUUGGUUUUUAGGAUACGGUUUUCUUACAUCAUUGGGCCCAGUUCACUGAUAAAAAUCCUCUAGUGGGUUAUUAGAAAUGCGUCACUCUGCUGAGGGCUUUGCCAGUAAACCUGAUGGCAGCUGAGAGCUUCGUGAUAUGCUUGGGUGUUUGUUUUGAUGGGAUCCUGGGCGAAGGCCGCUGCCUGUGAUGAGCUUCGCCUGCCCUGUGCCCUCUGGAAAGUUCCUGGGUUGGGGUUUGGGCUGGAACCCCUGUCUGUGAGUCAUGCAGCUGGCCUGUCCCCGGGCCAUACUGGGAUGAGGUUUCUGUAGCCCGUGGACUCGCACCCGACACCUCCUUAACGGCUGCUUGGAACCUUGGCACUAAGACCCGGCUUGAACAUUAACCACUCCCAUUUCUUCCGUCAGUAACACAAAUGGGUAAAGUUUUCAGGGCCAGUGGAGAUGCAAAGAAAGACAAACUUUUUUUGGCCAUUUUUUAACUACCUGUGACUAUUUCCAAAUUAAUGUUUUUGAUACUAAUCAUUGAGUUUAAUAGGAUGAUAUCAUAUUGCUGGUGUGUGUGUAUGUAUGUGUGUGUUGUGUGUACUUAUAUAUAUAGAGAGAGACUCAUUUCAAAAGGAGGAGAUACCUACUUAAAACAGCUUUAUUUUUUUCAAUUUAUUUUUAUGGCUGCACCCAUGGCAUAUGGAAGUUCCUAGGCCAGGGAUUGAAUCGGAGCCACAGCCACGACUAAUGCUGCAGCUGCAGCAGUGCCAAAUCCUUUUAACCCACUGCUCUGGGCCAGGGAUUGAACCCAAACCCACACCUCUGCAACAACCCUGACUGUUGCAGUUGGGUUCUUAACUCACUGUGCCACAGCGGGAACUCAAAAUAACUUUAUUUUUAAAAGGGAAUGUUCAGAUUCUCGUGGUGGAGAUGACGCGAACACAGUUCAAGGGUGGCCGUGGUCGUUUGUCAGCCUGUGACUCACUCCUUCCAUCUCGCGCCCCAUUGGCUCAGCUUUUCACUCUCUCCGCAUUGACUGCCCUGCCUCUGGAGCUGCCACUGCAUCUUGUUCGCAGCCAGAGGCCAGGGCCUCGUCAUCCCCACUGUCCUCCUCCAUGGUCUCUUGCCCCCUCCGCUCGUGGACACCCUCACCCCAGCCCCGUGGGCUCCAUUCCUCGGUAAGUCCUGGCCUGACUCGUGUUGGGGACAGGCCUCAGGGCAGCCGGCAGCUUUGUCCUGGCCUGACACCUGGUGCCAGCUGAGCAGCAGGUCUGGCCAGAGCCUCCCUUUGGGAAGAGCUUAGAGCUCCCGCCUUGCGCUUGUUAGAAACACACUUGCCAGCUGAGGUCCUAGCUGGCGGCUGUACACGGUGGCGGGAACCACCUCAAGUGGAAGGAAUAGAAGCUGAGGGGGGAAGCCGAGGCAACAGCGAGAGAGGCAGACUCUUUGGUAAGAGGCUCCGAGAAGCGCCUGGGGUGGGAAGUGAUUCUUCUGUCGCUCUGAGUCACUUCUGAUGUCCCUUGGCUCAGUAGGAAGUUUUUCUUCUUUCUUAGUACUUCCAUUCAUUAACCCUAAAAUAAAUAUCUUAAAGAGCAUAAACUUUUUAUCGCAGCGGCUUACCUUGGCGAAUUGUACAGUGAAUGCUUCUGACAUAGUUGCCAAGCUUUCAUGUGUCUCACCAGGUUAGAUGACUUUCAUGGUCGUUUAAUUUCAAACAGUUCUUUGCCACGGGUAGGCUAGGGGACGGUGGAAUUGCUUGCAACCCGACACCAAGGCCAGGCAGGAUGGACAGGCACAGCUCAGCCCCCAGAUGGUUUGGGUCGUGCUGGGGCCCUAAAAUCUCUCAGCAUUGGCAACUGAGGGUUUGGUGUCAAGGGUUGGCUGUGCCUCUGCGUCCUGUUGUCAGGGACCCAGGCUGACGGAGCGGUCUCUGUCUGGAGUUUUUGUGACUUCAUGGGAGAGGGGAGAGAGCUGGACAACAAAGGACUGCCUCCUGAGCCCUUCUGUCCCCAAAGUGGCACGUGGAAUUGGCUGGACAGGUCCCAUGGUUGAGCCCGAUGUCUCUGGGGUGGGAAAAACUCUCUUCCUCACAGAAGGGACACACAGCAUUUGAAAGAAUAAUAGUCUUUCAGAAAGCUUUUCCAGAAGCUUCCAGUCAGGAGGAGACUCUUGUUCUAGUUGAUUCUUCAGUUGACUUGGGUGUGUGUGAGGGACUCAGAAAGAACAGAUGGCAUAAUCCUCUCUGUGGAUCGUGUUUGGGUUUUCUUAAGCUUCGGGAAGGGAAGCUGGCUGAUGGCCUUGUAUCUUGUGAACAAGCAGCGAUUCUUUCUGCCUCUGUGCAGAAGGGACUGGAAAGCCUAUAGUUGCUGGAAACACGAACAUCCGUGGUCCCCAGGACCGGGGACGGCUGCCCAGCUGUCCAUUUAGAUAAGCCAGAAGCUCAUCCUCUGAGGGUUAUUUAUUCUCAGUGUCAAGUCGCUUGAACAGAGGGCUUUUGCCUUCUCCCUUCUGUGAUACCAGCCAGUUCACAAAGAAGGAAGUAUCUUGAUUUUUAUGUGUAAGUUCUUAGUUCUUUGUUUUCCACUCUUUGUUACUUUUGUCCUUUAAAACUCUCUACUUUCUUAUUGAUACUGAGAAUACCAGUGAGGCUCACUUUAAGACUAGUAUUUGGAGUUCCUGUGGUGGCUCGGCAGGUUAAGGACCUGACCUUGUCUCUGUGAGGAUGCGGGUUCGAUCCCUGGCCUCUGCUCAGUGGGUUAAGAAGCUGGCAUUGCUGCGAGCUGCAACACAGAUCACAGAUGUGGCUCGGGUCUCUUGUUGCCAUGGCUGUGGCACAGGCUGCAGCUGCAGCUCCAAAUUGGCCCCAAGGUCCAUAUGUCACAGGUGUGGCUGUAAAAAUAAAUAAAUAAAUAAAUAGACUUAUUUUGCCAGAAUUCAUUAUGAAUAUGAAAACUACUUUUUGUUUCAGAGUUUGUAAAGGCAGCUCUUGAAGCGCAAAUUCUAAUUCCAUUUAAACAAAUCAAAAACCUCUGACCCCACAGCAGGUACAGGGCAUAGGCAUGUGGUCCCUGGCUCAUAAGGUCUGCGCUGAAUCACACCUAAGCAUCUGUCAUGGAUGUUAGUUCUUCUGUCCCUCCUGUCAGACAGAAACAGGAAAGACACAUAAAAGACUUCCUAAAGAUUUUUAGAUUGUGACAUUUGUAGAAGGAAAUGGAGUGAUAAAAUAUGUAAGUGGGUUUGAGAAAUCUUAAAAGAGUGGGUCAUGUAGAAAUUAGGACCAGACAAGUGGACCUGUUGUCUCUGGCUGCUGCUGAUGCCUCAGAACAGGGUGUGAAAAUGACCCCUUUAGAAGUAGGAUUGCAAAUUGAUUGGCUAUGCAGAGUUCAAGUGGACAUCAAGAAAGAAUUAUCACUGGCCAAGACAAGUAAAUUAAGCUCCAGGCACAGAAGAAAAGAGGCUUGCUGAGGUGUUCUGUAGACCGAGGUCCUUGUUGGUCUAGAGGGGCCACCAGGCAGCCAAACCACCAACAGGUUUAACAGGAGGGAGAAGCGUCUUGCAUGCGGGGGUCAUGCAAUGACUGGAAUGGCUGAAAGUACUUUGGUCUACUUGGUAAAUUCCUUGAGAUUCCCUGACAUUUGCAGUGGCUUAGGCCACUGGAGCAUGAAUUGGGUGGCUGGCCCAACUCUGGAGAAAAGAAUUCAGGAGCAAUAAAGACCACGCUGGCCAAACUUGGAAUUUUUUCAAGGCAAAGUCCAAGACCCUUAGGCGGAGGUAAAGACAGUUAAUGGUAAAUGGACUCCCCAUCUUAAUAACCAGGGAAGCCCUGUUUUUGCCAUUUGUAGAACGUAGUUAACUGGAAAAAAAAAGAGGUGACUUCAGUGUGUGGUCCAGAGAAACCACUGGGACCCCAGGAGAGGCAGGGUCAAGGCUCUGUCUGCUCUGGCAAGUUGGAUUCCACAUCCUGUCAGCCUGCCGUCCUGGACAUAUAGUAGCAUGGACCUUAAUUUUUUUCAGAAGAACAGCGAAAAGUGUGCUUAACUUCUGGAAUAUUAUACAUGCCCAUCCAGGUUACAGGACAUGACUUACUCAGAGUAGACUUUUCUAAAAUGUGAAGGUUUUAGAACUCAGAUUUUUUAAAAUUUAAUUUCCUUUUUAUUAGAGCAUAGUUGAUUUACAG